Long non-coding RNA from Notolabrus celidotus (New Zealand spotty), 990 nucleotides. RefSeq lists it as uncharacterized. The record is from RefSeq and is a predicted model, not a curated record. The transcript is spliced from 2 exons. Lineage: Eukaryota; Metazoa; Chordata; Actinopteri; Labriformes; Labridae.
CUGGAAUAAUAUUUGUAGGACAUCUUUCAUCAUGUCAUGGCUCUCAAAGAAAAAUCUACACAACCAUUCAGCGAGCCCUUGUGUCAUGUGGAUUGAAGAAUUCUCCCCCUUGAGACACCAAUCCCAUCAUGAUAGAAGUGUUUCAUCACAGGAAGCAGCGAUCACAGUGACCCUUCCCUCCAGGGAGAACAGAUGACCUAAACCAUGCCGGCAAAAUACUCCCACAGUAAAACAGAUCCUCCAGGGUCAAGCACUCAGGCUUCUCCUGCACUGUUAUUAUUUACACAUCACAUUGUGCUUUUGAUGCAAGCUAAUUAUUUACUGUUUUGCAGAAAUGAGAAACAAAAGAUCCGCCCCGGUGCUGAAAAUAAGCCUUUCAUUCCCUGAAACAGAAAUGACAAACGGGCGCUGAACAUGAUGGAUGAUAAGUACAGAUUAAUUACAAGGAAAUAAUGCAUUCAACAUUUCAUUUUAAUUCAAAAGUAAAUAUUGAAAUGUGUGUGCCUGAUGGUGUGAGCAUGUGUGUGUGUGUGUGAAUCUCUCAGCGUCUGUAUUGAUUGUCCUCUGCUCUCUAAACAUUUACACUCAAUGAAAACGUUGACAGAAUCUGCAGUUUACAGCUCUUCACAUUGACCCCAUGUAAAAAGCUUACCAUUGGAGUGGCCUUCAUAUUAACUGUGCGUUGGUGUCCUGAAUGAAUAGCGGGUCCUUCACAUUGGAGGUAAUAAACGCUUGAGAUGCUGGCUCAGCUCUCAUGUGGACUCUCCACAAGAUCAACAGUGAAGGACUUCUCUGCUCAGUCACAGCAUUGUCUUUGUUGAUCUACUGACCUACUGUGUAAUCUCCCAAUCAGCCGGGUCUUUCAUAAACAAAUAGCACGUGUUGACAAUGCCUGAAAGAUAUGCAUGUGAUUCAAGAAGAAGAGAGCAUGCUAAGGCUUCUCUUCUGAAAAUAAAAUAUGACUGCAGGAUUUCUCUGUUCAUAAUGUGA